GUUAAAAAUCAAAGUACAAAUAGCAAAGUCCAAUCGGCAUGAACCUUGCUACAUUUACACUUUAGUUUACACUUUACCACGUAAUAUUACCCUGUUGGAUAGUUUAAAUUUUAAACAGUUUUCCCAUCAUCCUAGUUUCAACCAUAAACGAUACCAACUAGGGAUCGGCGGAUGUUGCUUAUAGGACUCCACCAGCACCUUAUGAAAAAUCAAAGUUUUUGGGUUC
RNAcentral lists this ribosomal RNA (226 nucleotides) under Olea europaea subsp. europaea. RNAcentral's name for it is "Eukaryotic small subunit ribosomal RNA". It matches the Rfam family "Eukaryotic small subunit ribosomal RNA", at positions 618 to 1114 of the family's 1831-position model. Lineage: Eukaryota; Viridiplantae; Streptophyta; Magnoliopsida; Lamiales; Oleaceae. The record is from Rfam by way of RNAcentral.